UUUUGUUGUGGUGCUUGUUCACUUCGGCUUCCUUUGUUGAUGGUCUCAAUUGGACCAAGUAAUCAAGGAGAUAUGGACCAUUGAUUAGGUGAAGUUUUAUCAUUUCUUAAUUUGACCGUCACAUGACUAGUCUCGUAGGAUGAAACGUAAAUAGUGAUUUUCUCGAAAGGAUUAUGCUACACGUAUAUUAAGAUGUCCAUAAAGAUGUUAUGAAUACCGCAUCAUGUACAAGUAGCAUAUUCCUUCUUGAAGGGUGUAUAAAGAUAUACUUCUCAAAAAAUUACUUUUUUAUAAUUUCUUAAACUUCGUCAAAAUAAACUAUAAUUUGAGCCUCAUUCUCUUAAACUCAUUUUUCUUCAAAUUCAUUUCAAUUACACAUUCUUCCAAAUAAAUAAUUUUACAUAUAAAUUCAAAAAAAAUCUUAUUUUUUAACUACAUAUUCUCUAAAAAAAAUAUUAUUACAAAACUUAUUUUUCAUAACAAAAUGGAGCUCAAAUAGGGCUAAGUAACUUAUCGGGAAUCCCUUAAAUUAGCCACCAAGCAAUAGCACGAAUGUCGCGUGAGAGAAGUAAAUUUCUGCGGCAGUUCAGAUAACCGUAAAAGUACUCUACUUUAAUGCGCACCUUCAACAACCUGGCGACAGUUUUGCCAUUAUUAGUAGCUAAUUCUAACCUGCGCCGUAUCCUAACAAAAAAAAGUAAUAAUAAUAAUAAAGAAACAGCGGAUGUCACAUUAGUAAAUCUGGGCCAAGUGGAGGGUAAUGUUGUCAAUUCAAUCAAGAUUAAGUCACACACUGAUGCACAACACGAAACUAACUAAAACAAAUUUUUUUAGCUUUUUUACAAAAUAAAAAUAUUUUACGCUUAGACUCAAAAUUUUCUCACUUUUUAAUCAUAUAAUAUCCAAAAAAAUUGCUAAUUAAAAUAUUAUUUUUUCUCUAUAAUGACCAUAAGACUUUAUUUUCUAGCGAAUAGAGGGGUACCAAAUAAAUAUUCCAAUACAAGUUUCAUUUAUAAAGGCUCCAUUUCUUGGUUUCUUUGUGUGUAAUUGCCAGCCUCUUGAAAAUCUCAAGUGAUUCCUUCAUAGACUUGAGACGGACGCAACCGGAAAGUAUAUCACUCGUGAAACGGACAGCCGGCGGUUCGCCAGAGAAAGAUAAAAAUUUGUACUUUUUUUUGCACAGUAAAGAUUCCACCAUGAGCAGUGUACAUAACAGCGUGGAGACUGUAAAUGCUGCAGCAACUGCCAUAGUCACUGCUGAGACCAGAGUCCAACCUUCUACAGUACAGGUAUAUACAUACAUAAAAUCUUGUUUCCCUUGAAUAUGAAAAGGGCUCGACUUGAUACAGUACCAGAGUCCAAAAAGUUUUUCUCAUGUUGAAAAGAAUUUAUGUGUUGUGUUUCUGGGUACCUGGUUGCUUUGUUUAUUGCAAUUCAUUGAAUAAAAAUACUGGGUAUUGUAAAUUUUCUUGAUUUAUGGACAUUAAAUGCGUUUGAAUUAGAAGAAAAAGUGAAAAGAAAAAGGGGAAAAAGAACAAAGCUUUAUUUUUUUUAUGAAUUAUUUUAGUAUUACGCUACAGCUAAAAGAUUGAGUUGUUGACAUGUUUAGUCUGGACAAAUAGCUUAUUAGGCAAUAAUUGAAAGGUACUUUUAUGAGAAAGUGAUGAGAUUAUUUUGAGCAAAAUUAUUUUAAUUUGAAAAUCAAGUUAAUCAAAGCGAGUGUUAAAAGAAUGGCUUUUGAACUCCAAUGGUUUUUCCAUGUUUUUGAUUCCAAUGAUUGGGUUCAUCUGUCUAGUUUCAUUAGAAAAAUCAGAAUGCAGAUUUUGCUUCCACACUCUACAGUUGGGGGAAACCCUGUUUUUGUGAUAGAAAUACACAAUAAAAUCUGGUUUAUUAUAGUGUCCAUUUGUGUCUAAUAUGAGGACCAACAUAGACUUAGUACUUUAGAGUCGUUUUGUCAACAACGGGCAUUAAUGAAAUUAUUCUUGUUCACGAACUUUUUGGAGCAAUGGGAGACUUAAGGGCAGCACCUUUUUGUUGAUUUAUUGGAGUAGAAGAUAUGAAGUUUAUAUAAGUUUUUCUUCCACGGACAAGAGAGGAAAGUGAGCACCAUAGCGUUUAUUUGAAGUUUGUCUUCCACGGAAGAGAGAAAAGUAGCCACCAUAGCGAAGUAACCUUUCUUCAUUUGAUAUGGAACUGAGCAUUAGGGAUCCCAAAAGACUUAUUUAUGCCUACUGUAUGCAAAAUCUUGCCCACAUAAAUAGACUGAUGUAUUUUAGAUUUUAAAACAAAUAGGGUGCUCUGCUCUUAAACAGCAAGGUCUCUUCACAUUCCAGAUGAUCUCAAUUGUUCAUUGCCUAAAUAAGCAUCAUCUAACGGUGAGGCAGGAAAUGCAAAUUGUCAAAUGGUAAAGCUGUUCAAGUGCGAUUCCUAGCACAUCAUGUUAUGAUGAGUUUAAGCUUUUUGCAAAUAUCAGUCUCUUUUAGAAACUAACCUAAAAAGCAAAUAAACACGCUGUAUAUUUCUAAUGUAUUGCGAGAAAAGAGGGAGCUGGGCUUGUGUAUAAUCUUGAAUGAGUAGGGGUGAGUUAGAAUGUGUACUCUUGUUUGCAGGUGAAAGUUUUAAACUUGGAUUAUAAUGUUGAGAUAUGCAGCAUGAAUUUUGGUUUUGCAUCCUAUGAUUUAACAUCUUAAAUCAAUUCAAUGAGUUGACAUAUUCCUAUACUUGUUAUCAUGAUUUUCCUUUUAGAGACAUUUAAAACUAUGGACAAUGCUUGCCGUGGCCAUCCUUUUAAUGGAACUAAUUUAUUAAUUUUUUGUUUUUUCUUCAUUUGCUACAGAAGAGAAGAUGGGGAAGCUUCUGGAGUCUAUCGUGUUUUGGCUCUCACAAACACAGCAAACGAAUUGGUCAUGCUGUCCUUGUUCCUGAACCGUCUGCACCUGCAUCCAUUGCCGNU
Molecule: long non-coding RNA, 2956 nt
Filed under: Olea europaea (common olive)
Lineage: Eukaryota; Viridiplantae; Streptophyta; Magnoliopsida; Lamiales; Oleaceae
Description: long non-coding RNA (OEUR_LNC008865)
Source: RNAcentral